Molecule: long non-coding RNA, 286 nt
Filed under: Zalophus californianus (California sea lion)
Lineage: Eukaryota; Metazoa; Chordata; Mammalia; Carnivora; Otariidae
Description: lncRNA (ENSZCAG00015009888.1)
Source: RNAcentral
UGUAGGAAUAUUCUGCUAAAUCUCAGUAGGAACAGUAGAGCUUGUGAUGUUUGAGCCACGACCCUCUCCCCUCUGGCUCUGUGUGAUGAGGGCUCUACUCUCCGGCAGGUGAUUCUUCCUCCGUGCCUGUCCACCUGUGCCAUGGAACAACUGGGCCCUUGACCUUCGAGAGUCUGGAUUUUAGAGGACUUGUGGCGAGUCACCUGGCGAGUCAAAUCCGGGUCAGACAAAAGCAACCGGACCCACGCUGACCGACUGCUGUGAGGAGCAGGCUGAUGGGAAGCUG